GACGAACGCUGGCGGUGUGCUUAACACAUGCAAGUCGAGCGAUGAAGCACUUUCGGGUGUGGAUUAGCGGCGAACGGGUGAGGAACACGUGAGGAAUCUGCCUUCCACUCUGGGAUAACUCCGGGAAACCGGGGCUAAUACCGGAUACUUUCAACUGGCGGCAUCGCUGGUUGAAGAAAGUUUUUCGGUGGAAGAUGACCUCGCGGCCUAUCAGCUUGUUGGUGAGGUAAUGGCUCACCAAGGCGACGACGGGUAGCCGGCCUAAGAGGGCGACCGGCCACACUGGGACUGAGACACGGCCCAGACUCCUACGGGAGGCAGCAGUGGGGAAUAUUGGGCAAUGGAGGAAACUCUGACCCAGCGACGCCGCGUGAGGGAUGAAGGCCUUCGGGUUGUAAACCUCUUUCAGCAGGGAAUAAGCGAAAGUGAAGGUACCUGCAGAGGAAGCACCGGCUAACUAUGUGCCAGCCGCCGCGGUAA
This 480-nucleotide ribosomal RNA is filed under the name uncultured bacterium. RNAcentral's name for it is "partial 16S ribosomal RNA". It matches the Rfam family "Bacterial small subunit ribosomal RNA", at positions 28 to 523 of the family's 1533-position model. The record is from RNAcentral.